Coffea arabica (coffee) is the source of this 365-nucleotide non-coding RNA. The record is from RefSeq and is a predicted model, not a curated record. NCBI's taxonomy places the organism in Eukaryota, Viridiplantae, Streptophyta, Magnoliopsida, Gentianales, Rubiaceae.
AAUAUCAAAGAUUCCUACGGAAGCUUAUCAUCAGCCACCAUUCUUCUUUUCCUUCUCAAACCAGCCAUGCAACACCAAGAGAAGGAGACCAAAAUUCCUUCUUCAUUCACCUCUCAAACUUGCACCAAAUCAUUUGAAAUUUCUACCACAAACUCACAACAACUUGGAGAUUCAUCUAGGCAAGGAGAGGAGCUUCAUUUCCACGAUUUUCUUGAGACUCAAAGUGACCAAAAAUUUCUGAUCUAGUCAUCCAAGAAGGCGCUCAAGGGGACCUUCAAGAGGAACUCGAAGUGGACGCCUAGACACUUGUUUGAGUAUUUACUCUCUUGUUGCAAUAGGACUGGGCUCGGUCGGGUAGGUUGGAA